GAUGAAGAACGUAGCGAAAUGCGAUAAGUAGUGUGAAUUGCAGAAUUCAGUGAAUCAUCGAAUCUUUGAACGCACAUUGCGCCCCUUGGUAUCCCGAGGGGCAUGCCUGUUCGAGCGUCAUUUCACCACUCAAGCCUGGCUUGGUGUUGGGCGACGUCCCCUUUGGGGACGCGCCUCGAAACGCUCGGCGGCGUGGCACCGGCUUUAAGCGUAGCAGAAUCUUUCGCUUUGGAAGUCGGGGCCCCGUCUGCCGGAAGACCUACUCGCAAGGUUGACCUCGGAUCAGGCAGGGAUACCCGCUGAACUUGAGCAUAUCAAUAAGCGGAGGA
This 329-nucleotide unclassified non-coding RNA is filed under the name soil metagenome. RNAcentral's name for it is "partial contains 5.8S ribosomal RNA, internal transcribed spacer 2, and large subunit ribosomal RNA". The stretch from base 1 to 120 matches the Rfam family "5.8S ribosomal RNA", at positions 35 to 154 of the family's 154-position model. The record is from RNAcentral.